CCUACGGGCGGCAGCAGUGAGGAAUAUUGGUCAAUGGGCUUACGCCUGAACCAGCCAAGUCGCGUGAGGGAAGACUGCCCUAUGGGUUGUAAACCUCUUUUGUCAGGGAGCAAUUGGCGCUACGUGUAGCGUUAUCGAGAGUACCUGAAGAAAAAGCAUCGGCUAACUCCGUGCCAGCAGCCGCGGUAAUACGGAGGAUGCGAGCGUUAUCCGGAUUUAUUGGGUUUAAAGGGUGCGUAGGCGGAAUGCAAAGUCAGCGGGAAAAUCGCGGGGCUCAACCUCGCUCCGCCGUUGAAACUGGCGUUCUUGAGUGGGCGAGAAGUAUGCGGAAUGCGUGGUGUAGCGGUGAAAUGCAUAGAUAUCACGCAGAACUCCGAUUGCGAAGGCAGCAUACCGGCGCCCAACUGACGCUGAAGCACGAAAGCGUGGGUAUCGAACAGGAUUAGAUACCCCAGUAGUC
This 460-nucleotide ribosomal RNA is filed under the name uncultured bacterium. RNAcentral describes it as "partial 16S ribosomal RNA". It matches the Rfam family "Bacterial small subunit ribosomal RNA", at positions 338 to 795 of the family's 1533-position model. The record is from RNAcentral.